RNAcentral lists this ribosomal RNA (590 nucleotides) under uncultured bacterium. RNAcentral's name for it is "bacterial SSU rRNA". It matches the Rfam family "Bacterial small subunit ribosomal RNA", at positions 102 to 679 of the family's 1533-position model. The record is from RNAcentral.
ACGGGUGAGUAACACGUAGGUAACCUGCCUAUGAGACUGGGAUAACUAUCGGAAACGAUAGCUAAGACCGGAUAACUGGUUUUCUCGCAUGAGAGAAUCAUGAAACACGGAGCAAUCUGUGGCUUAUAGAUGGGCCUGCGGCGCAUUAGCUAGUUGGUAGGGUAAUGGCCUACCAAGGCGACGAUGCGUAGCCGACCUGAGAGGGUGACCGGCCACACUGGGACUGAGACACGGCCCAGACUCCUACGGGAGGCAGCAGUAGGGAAUCUUCCGCAAUGGACGCAAGUCUGACGGAGCAACGCCGCGUGAGUGAUGAAGGUUUUCGGAUCGUAAAGCUCUGUUGCCCUAGACGAACGGCAUGAGGAGUAACUGCCUUGUGUGUGACGGUAUAGGAGAAGAAAGCCCCGGCUAACUACGUGCCAGCAGCCGCGGUAAUACGUAGGGGGCAAGCGUUGUCCGGAAUUAUUGGGCGUAAAGCGCGCGCAGGCGGUUAAUUAAGUUGGGUGUUUAAGCCCGGGGCUCAACCCCGGUUCGCAUCCAAAACUGGUUGACUUGAGUGUAGGAGAGGAAAGUGGAAUUCCACGUGUAGC